Colius striatus (speckled mousebird) is the source of this 1846-nucleotide long non-coding RNA. RefSeq lists it as uncharacterized. The record is from RefSeq and is a predicted model, not a curated record. The transcript has 3 exons. Lineage: Eukaryota; Metazoa; Chordata; Aves; Coliiformes; Coliidae.
CGAUGUUGAAGGAGGAGUACAUACAGAUCUCCCUCUCACUGCGGGGGAAGGACCAGUAGACGAUCCUGCGUUGCACUGGCUCCGGGAUCCGCUCGAACCGCUCCUCCACCCGUUGGAAGGGCCACUUCUCCGCCACCUUGCGAGCCGCAAUGUCCAGAAGGGACUUGGGGUUCUGGGUCUUGCCGAGCGGCAACAGCCCCAAGGCGGCGGCAGCAGCAGCUGCUGCUGCUUCAGGAGCAGUUGCUGCGGAGGAGGGUCCAGCACAGAGCGCCCCGCUGCCAAAUCCGGUGCCGCCCACCCGCUGGCCCGGCCUGCACCCUGAGCCAUAGCCGGGUCUGCAGCAGAGGCGCUUAGCAGGAGAAGGGAGCUGACCGCGUUCCGCCAUGAUCACGCCGCUUCUAAACGAAUAGCGGAAGUGGCUGUGAACUAUAAACAGCACCAGGAAGGCAGCAAGAGGCUGUGAGCCACCCUCAGGUCACACCCCCUCUUCCUUUAUAUAGCGAGGGGGGCGGUGCUGGCCGCCUCGCUUACAGCAGGAGGCGAAACUUUAUUGAAAUCGGCGUCACAAACAUAAGAAGCCCAAGGAAAGCGCGUUCUGCGAGCUGGUGGAGAUGAUGCCUAUGUGUCGCCUUUUUCUCUCUUCCCCCGCUGUCACACACUCACACACACACAAGCCUUAGCCUCACGCGCCUGGAGGGGAGAAGGGGGCGUGGCUGACUGCGCCCCUCUGACACCGUGUAAGGAAUGGAAUGCGGAGGUGGAGCUGCCGUGGCUUCAAUCCAGUCCAGGAAAGCUAGAGUCGGGCCGCCUGAAAAUACUGUAGCGGUUGAGGCAACCACUCUAGUCGGCGGAAAGGCAGAAGCUACCUCGUCUCCAGCGCCUGGCCCAAGGAAGCAGAGCGACGCCCGCCUUUCGCCAGAGCUCUGCGGCAGUCGGGAGCUGCUAGGAAGUGGCAAAGGAGAGCAGGUAGGGCUUGCUGCCUACAAGCAGCUCCACAGGGUGGCCUGGCCUAGGCUUCAAUCUCAGAGGUGGGCUGAAAUGGGUGAAGCUGAGACGUUAUUAGCUGACCCCACGCGUGCCCGCAGCAAGCCCUUGCGUGAGGCGCACCUUAAAUUUCCACUUCUAUUAGAGGCUCUACGGUAGCUACGGCCAUUCGACUGCUGGGUGAGCCCCUGCUCCGUGGGGUCUUUGGCUUGUGCUGGCUCAAUAGUCGCGUGUUCGCCGUGGUCCCUGGAAGGGCUGGUUGCACCCCAGUGUGAGUUUCACGCGGCCGGCUCGCUUCGCAGAUGGUCCGGCUUGGAACCGCUCUAUUAGCCCAAGAUGAAGGCCUCAACGCCACGACCCGCAGCUCCAAAGUGCAGUAGUGUGGAAUCGACCUCUGACUUUGGAAAAUCCAGUACACAACAUACUGCCUGGAGAUUAUGUCUACAUAAAGACUUGGAACAGGAAACCUCUGCAAGGAAGGUGGAAAGGACCAUAUCAGGUGUUACUGACCACCUUCACUGCAAUCAAGAUUGCCGAAUCAGAUGCCUGGAUCCAUUACACUCUAGUGAAGAAAGCACCAUCAAGCCCGUGGAGUAGAGAUCCUGAGAAAUUGAAAUUAACUUUGAAACAUGACUAAGUUUUUUUGUUCUUGUUGAUUUUUCAGUCUGUGGUGGUGGACACAACACGUGGAUCAAAAUUGGAUAGUUGCAUCAAACUAAAAUGAUAUCUCAUGUUCAGGCCCAGACUCCAGUCCAGACAAAAAUAGACUCGGAACAGACUAAACAGUCCCAGUUCCUGCAGCCUUUGCUCGUAUGAAAGAUGUUCCAGUCCCCUGAUCAUCUUGGUGGCCCUGCUCUGGACU